Long non-coding RNA from Callithrix jacchus (white-tufted-ear marmoset), 2704 nucleotides. RefSeq lists it as uncharacterized. Lineage: Eukaryota; Metazoa; Chordata; Mammalia; Primates; Cebidae. The record is from RefSeq and is a predicted model, not a curated record.
GGUGGGCAACUGGGGCAGCUUAAGCAGGGCAGGAGAGUCUAUCAGAGCAGCUCGGCCAGGGGAGGAGAGCAAAGGGAACCACCGCAGGCUUCUGAGCAUGGAGGUGCAUGAACACGCAGCCUCCUUAGGUGGCUGCUCUCGGGCCUCUCACCUGUCCCUCUGACAGGUUUCACUGCCAGGUGUUCCUGCCUGCUGCCCUACUGGAGAGCCUCACAAUCUUUUGAGACAGAGUCUUGCUCUGUCGCCCAGGCUGGAGUGCAAUGGCACAAUCUUGGCUCACUGCAACCUCCGCCUCCCGGGUUCAAGCGAUUCCCCUGCCUCAGUCUCCUGAGUAGUUGCAACUACAGGCACAUGUCACCAUGUCCGGCUAAUUUUUCGUAUUUUAGUAGAAACAGGGUUUCAUCAUGUUGGCCAGGAUGGUCUCAAUCACCUGACUUCGUGAUCCACCAACCUCGGCCUCCCAAAGUGCUGAGAAUACAGGUGUGAGCCCCCGUGCCCAGCCAGCCCUGCACUCUUUACAAAUCUGCCUUCCCACAAGACCAUCUACACCCCGUCUGCUGGUUCCGUCCCCCGGCAGCCCCACCUAAGAGACAACUGAACUCUCCUCUGUCGCCCACAUCUGGUAUUCAGGGUUUCUCGAAUGGUCUCUCUGGUGGCCCCAGACAGCUCCUUCUGCCCUCAGUCCUGGACCUUCCCAAGUCUUUGCUGCAGUAUUUCCCAGGCCCCCUUUCUCUCGCAGAUCCCACACUAGCGUGUCUGGGACCAGGAAGGACACAAGCAGUGACCCCUAACUCAGCAGACAGGGCAGCCUCACUCCCUUGCUGAAGAGGGCACAGGGCGAGGGGCAGGGGGCCUGGCGUGGAUCCAGGCAGCAGGAGUCAGGGAGAGGAUGGUGCUCAAAGGCUCUGGGUUGGGGGGAUGGAGACCCCCAAUCUGACACCCCUUAAACAAGACAGAAAACAUAGGCCAGGCAGGACCCAGAGAGGAUGGAGAAGGGGGCUGUGGCCAGAGAUGAGAAAAGGGGAAGUCCUGGUAGGGCCAUGUGGGUGGGGCCCUGAGGAGGUUGCGGGAGGCUGGAGGGCACAGAGCCAGGGAGAGGGAAAGGGCCUGAGGCCUGGUGGGUGGAGAAGGCUGGAAGAGGGCCCUGGUGGGGAGGGCCGGGUGGCUAACUGGGCAGGUUAGGAACGUUCCAGUCCUUACCCCCUUCAACACCUCCUCCAGGUGGUCCCGGAACUGCAUAAAGAGGUUGAUCUUCCAGCUGGUGUUGCAGUUCACAGAGUUGACCUGGGAAAGGGGGACAGACCCAUCAUGCCAGGCAGGCCCCAGCCACUGAGGGCCCAGAGAGGAGCUGAAGGGAAGGACCAGCCUAGCCACCAUUACAGCACAAGGACAGCCGGCGUUGUCGCUGAGCUCAUAAUUGCUGGCAUGCAGAGGCUGCCCAGCGUUGACAGGAUUCAGGAUCACCUUGUCCCCCACAACCACCUGGGCAGACAGGCAUGGCAGCUUCCAGAAGGGCUGGAUGAAGAGCCAGGAGCCCUGGUUGCCCGUGGCAUCCAGGCUCACCUGCAUGGCGUUCUUCUCCAGCAAGGCCGGAAGCCGCUUGUUCACCGUCAGGGUCUCGCUCUGUCACCCAGACUGGAGUGCAGUGGUGCGAUCAUGACUCACUUCAAUCUCUACUUCCUGGGAACAAGCAAUCCUCCCACCCCAGCCUCUUGAGUAGCUGGGACCUCAGACACACCCUGCUAAUUUCUGUAUUUUUUUAAGAGACAGGGUCUCCCUAUGUUGCCCAGUGUGGUUUGGAACUUCUGGGCUCAAGCCAUCCACCCACCUCAGCCUCCCAAAGUGCUGAGAUUAUGGGUGUGAGCCACCACGUCCAGCCUAUUUAAUUUUUUUUUUUUUUGAGACAGGGUCUCCCUAUGUUGCCCAGUCUGGUCUCAGGUGAUCCACCCACCACAGCCUCCCAAAUUGCUGGAAUUACAGGCAUCAGCCACAGUGCUUGGCCCUAUUUUCCUUUUCUUUUUGAGACAGGAUCUUACUCUGUCACCCAAGCUGGAGUGCAGUGGUGUGAUCUCGGCUCACUGCAACCUCCACCGCCUGGAUUCAAGUGAUUCUCCUGCUUCAGCCUCCUGAGUAGCUGGAAUUACAGGCAUCCACUACCACACCCGGCUAAUUUUUUGUAUUUUUAGUAGAGACACAGUUGUCACCGAGUUAGCCAGGAUGAUCUCUAUUUUCUGACCUCAAGAACUGCCCGCCUCCGCCUCCCAAAGUGCUGGGAUUACCGGCCUGAGCCACCACGCCUGGUGGCAUUAUUUUCCAUUUUAAGAAUUAAGCAACACUUCAUUCCAUAAAAUAGAAUAAAUGUUCCAACGAGCUCAGCAGAAGAGGAUGGCUUUUGUGGUUUUUUUGUUGGUUUUUUUUUUUGAGACACAGUCUCACUCUGCGGCCCAGGCUGGAAUGCAGUGGGGUGAUCUCUGCUCACUGAAACCUCUAUCUCGCAGGUUCAAGCUAUUCUGCCUCCGCCUCCCAAGCAGCUGGGAUUACAGGCCCGUGCCACCACAUCAAGCUAAUUUUUGUAUUUUUAGUAGAGAUGGGGUUUUACUAUGUUGGGCAGGCUGGUCUGGAACUCCUGAUCUCAGGGGAUCCACUUACCUUGGCCUCCCAAAGCUCUAGGAUUACAGGUGUCAGCUACUACACCUGGCCUGAG